AUAAGAUAUCAAGGGCAACAGGUGAAUGCCUUGGCGCUGAGAGGCGAUGAAAGACGCGGUAAGCUGCGAUAAGCAUCGGGGAGGAGCUAAACAUCCUACGAUCCGAUGAUUUCUGAAUGGGGAAACCCGAUGGGAGUCAUGUCCCAUCAUCCUGAGCUGAAUAUAUAGGCCCAGAGAAGCCAACCCGGGGAAGUGAAACAUCUCAGUACCCGGAGGAAGAGAAAUCAAACGAGACUCCCAAAGUAGCGGCGAGCGAAAUGGGAAGAGCCCAAACCGAGUGGUUUCGACCAUUCGGGGUUGUAGGGCCGGCAUACGCGAUUCUGGAGUAGGCAGAGGAAGUGAGCUGGAAAGCUCCGCCACAGCGGGUGAUAGCCCCGUACUCGAAACCGAAAAGGACGCAGCCGGUACCUGAGUACUGCGAGGCACGUGGAACCUCGUGGGAAUCUAGGGGGACCAUCCUCUAAGGCUAAGUACUCCUCAGCGACCGAUAGUGAACUAGUACCGUGAGGGAAAGGUGAAAAGAACCCCUGUUAGGGGAGUGAAAUAGAAUCUGAAACCUGUUGCCUACAAGCUGCGAGAGCUACUUCGGUAGUGAUCGCGUGCCUUUUGUAUAAUGAGUCAGCGAGUUACUCUACCGUGCGAGGUUAAGCGAAAGCGUAGCCGUAGUGAAAGCGAGGCUUAAUAGGCCGACUAGUACGUUGGAGUAGACCCGAAACCGGGUGAUCUAUCCAUGAGCAGGUUGAAGCAAGGGUAAAGCCUUGUGGAGGACCGAACCGUCAACGGCUGAAAACGUUCCGGAUGACUUGUGGAUAGGGGUGAAAGGUCAAUCAAACCCGGUGAUAGCUGGUUCUCCCCGAAAUAUAUUGAGGUAUAGCCUCGGGAAUUGAUUAGCGGAGGUAAAGCACUGACAGAGCUAGGGGUCCUACCAGAUUACCAAACUCUAUCAAACUCAGAAUGCCGCUUAAUUGUAUCCCGGGAGUCAGACGGCGGGUGCGAAGGUUCGUCGUCAAAAGGGAAACAGCCCAGACCAACAGCUAAGGUCUCCAAAUCCAUGCUCAGUGGUGAAGGUAGUGGAACCGUUUAGACAGCCAGGACGUUGGCUUAGAAGCAGCCAUCGUUUAAAGAAAGCGUAAUAGCUCACUGGUCUAAUGGCUCUGCGCCGAAAAUGUAACGGGGCUAAGCAUGGUACCGAAGCUUUGGCAAUCUCCUUUGGAGAUUGGGUAGGGGAGCGUUCGCUGCGGGCUGAAGGUGUAUCGGAAGGUAUGCUGGACUGCAGUGAAGUGAUUAUGCUGACAUGAGUAACGAUAAAAUAUGUGAAAAACAUAUUCGCCGAAAACCCGAGGUUUCCUGGGUAAAGGUAAUCUUCCCAGGGUUAGUCGGAUCCUAAGGUGAGGGUGAAAGCCGUAACCGAUGGAAAACAGGUUAAUAUUCCUGUACUUGUUGUGUAGCGCGAUGGAGGGACGCAGGAAGAUAGGCGGGCCGGGUGUUGGAUAUCCCGGUGCAAGCGUGUAGGAAUAUCCGGUAGGCAAAUCCGCCGGACGAAUCUGAGACGCGAGUCCGUGGGCGCAAGCCCUGAAGCCGUUGAGUCUAUGCUGCCUAGAAAAGCUCCUAAGUUUAUCCACAGCAAUCCGUACCGCAAACCAACUCAGGUGGGUGGGAUGAACAAUCCAAGGCGCUCGAGAGAACUCUGGCCAAGGAACUCGGCAAAAUAACCCCGUAACUUCGGAAGAAGGGGUGCUCUCUAGGGUGACAUGUUUAACAUAUGAAGCCCCGGGGAGCCGCAGUGAAUUGGUGGUGGCGACUGUUUACUAAAAACAUAGGUCUGUGCGAAGUCCUAAAGACGACGUAUACGGACUGACGCCUGCCCGGUGCUGGAAGGUUAAAAGGAGGGGUCAGCGCAAGCAAAGCUCCGAAUUGAACCCCCAGUAAACGGCGGCCGUAACUAUAACGGUCCUAAGGUAGCGAAAUUCCUUGUCGGGUAAGUUCCGACCUGCACGAAUGGCGUAACGAUCUCCACACUGUCUCGGC
Molecule: ribosomal RNA, 2028 nt
Filed under: human gut metagenome
Description: bacterial LSU rRNA
Rfam family: Bacterial large subunit ribosomal RNA
Source: RNAcentral